GGAGAAGACAAGAAAAAUCAAGAACAGAUUUCACAUUCUUCACACAUUGACUGAAUAAAGUUUGUGUACAGACAUUUACACGACAACAUAUAUGAAUAUUUAUCCUUUCCCUGUAUUCUGAUGAAUAUUCAAUUCAAGACAGACCUCUUUUUUGCUGAUAAUGAAAGGUCUUAAAAAGUUAGCAACACAAAAAUUCAGUUAUCAUAGUUUUUAAGUCACGCCUCAAGAAUGUCCUCUCCACUAAGAACCCGCUUAGGAACCAAGUGCAACCUGCUUUUCCUUCAUGUUUUUCAUUUGGAAAAGCAGGUUGCACCUGGCAACCUGGUUCAGGUAGCGCUGUGGAUGCAACCUCUAAUUCAAACAGAGCCUAAACUGAAUGCUUGAUGGUCCAUGGAUUUCCUAUAGAACAACAAUGAUCUUAUAUCAACCCAACCGCUGUCUUACCUAUCAAGGAUCCUACUUUGUCACUCAGUUCUCAAUCAAGGGUCGUACUUUCAAUUAAAUCCUUUAGUCUUGUACUUUCUUUUCAAGUAGUAGGAGUUGGUAGGCAUAGAAAGUUUAAGAAGUAAAACAUACUUCCUUCCCCAAACUACACUAUACCUAGCAAGGUUAGACAUAUUGCUCGUCCUAAACUACAUAAAAAAUGUCCAUCUGGGAACUGCAAGAGAAAUUGGCCACCAAGCCCUUGUGUUGUUUAGAAGUUUCAACAGUCAUAUACUAUGCAUUAAGUAAAAGUCUAUGUGAUGGUAUCACACUGUUAGACCCAUCUGGAAGUUCCGCUUUUUCUAGCAAACUUCUUCCCUUUCAAUUAAGAAAGAAUUCUCCGGGAAUAAAUGCAAUAAUGAAAAUAACUUUAUACAACAUGUGCAUGCAUGCUCAAUUAUCUUUGAAAGUAUCAGUUACCAAACAGAAAACAAAAGAAAAGAGAAGGGGCUAUCAGAGA
Long non-coding RNA from Populus euphratica (Euphrates poplar), 943 nucleotides. RefSeq lists it as uncharacterized. The transcript has 2 exons. NCBI's taxonomy places the organism in Eukaryota, Viridiplantae, Streptophyta, Magnoliopsida, Malpighiales, Salicaceae. The record is from RefSeq and is a predicted model, not a curated record.